UACAUAUUGUGCAAGCGUUAUUCGGAAUUAUUGGGCGUAAAGAGCGUGUAGGCGGCCAUACAGGUCAGCUGUGAAAACUCGAGGCUCAACCUCGAGACGUCGGUUGAAACCGUUUGGCUAGAGUCCGGAAGAGGAGAGUGGAAUUCCCGGUGUAGCGGUGAAAUGCGCAGAUAUCGGGAAGAACACCCGUGGCGAAGGCGGCUCUCUGGGACGGUACUGACGCUGAGACGCGAAAGCGUGGGGAGCGAACAGG
RNAcentral lists this ribosomal RNA (253 nucleotides) under uncultured bacterium. RNAcentral's name for it is "partial 16S ribosomal RNA". It matches the Rfam family "Bacterial small subunit ribosomal RNA", at positions 524 to 776 of the family's 1533-position model. The record is from RNAcentral.